Molecule: transfer RNA, 75 nt
Filed under: Candidatus Woesearchaeota archaeon
Lineage: Archaea; Nanobdellati; Candidatus Woesearchaeota
Description: tRNA-Arg
Rfam family: tRNA
About the family: Transfer RNA (tRNA) molecules are approximately 80 nucleotides in length. Their secondary structure includes four short double-helical elements and three loops (D, anti-codon, and T loops).
Source: RNAcentral
GGGCGUGUAGCUCAGCUUGGAUAGAGCAUCGGACUCCUAAGCCGGAGGUCGGGGGUUCAAAUCCUCCCACGCCCG